CCGCACAAGCGGUGGAGCAUGUGGUUUAAUUCGAUGCAACGCGAAGAACCUUACCUACCCUUGACAUCCAGGGAAAAGCUUGUAAUGAGCUUAAUGCCUUCGGGAACCCUGUGACAGGUGCUGCAUGGCUGUCGUCAGCUCGUGUUGUGAAAUGUUGGGUUAAGUCCCGUAACGAGCGCAACCCUUAUCCUUAUUUGCCAGCACUUCGGGUGGGAACUCUAAGGAGACUGCCGGUGACAAACCGGAGGAAGGAGAGGAUGAUGUCAAGUCAUCAUGGCCCUUACGGCCUGGGCUACACACGUGCUACAAUGGGCAGUACAGAGGGCCGCAAACCCGCGAGGGGGAGCAAAUCCCAAAAAACUGUUCGUAGUCCGGAUCGGAGUCUGCAACUCGACUCCGUGAAGUCGGAAUCGCUAGUAAUCGCGAAUCAGCAUGUCGCGGUGAAUACGUUCCCGGGCCUUGUACACACCGCCCGUCAC
RNAcentral lists this ribosomal RNA (479 nucleotides) under Scrippsiella trochoidea. Its description in RNAcentral is "partial Bacterial small subunit ribosomal RNA". It matches the Rfam family "Bacterial small subunit ribosomal RNA", at positions 921 to 1400 of the family's 1533-position model. Lineage: Eukaryota; Dinophyceae; Peridiniales; Peridiniaceae. The record is from RNAcentral.